ACGGGUGAGUAACGCGUGGGUAACCUGCCUCAUACAGGGGGAUAACAGUUAGAAACAGGUGCUAAUACCGCAUAACAGUUUAUGCCGCAUGGCAUAAGAGUGAAAGGCGCUUUCGGGUGUCGCUGAUGGAUGGACCCGCGGUGCAUUAGCUAGUUGGUGAGGUAACGGCUCACCAAGGCCACGAUGCAUAGCCGACCUGAGAGGGUGAUCGGCCACACUGGGACUGAGACACGGCCCAGACUCCUACGGGAGGCAGCAGUAGGGAAUCUUCGGCAAUGGACGAAAGUCUGACCGAGCAACGCCGCGUGAGUGAAGAAGGUUUUCGGAUCGUAAAACUCUGUUGUUAGAGAAGAACAAGGACGUUAGUAACUGGACGUCCCCUGACGGUAUCUAACCAGAAAGCCACGGCUAACUACGUGCCAGCAGCCGCGGUAAUACGUAGGUGGCAAGCGUUGUCCGGAUUUAUUGGGCGUAAAGCGAGCGCAGGCGGUUUCUUAAGUCUGAUGUGAAAGCCCCCGGCUCAACCGGGGAGGGUCAUUGGAAACUGGGAGACUUGAGUGCAGAAGAGGAGAGUGGAAUUCCAUGUGUAGCGGUGAAAUGCGUAGAUAUAUGGAGGAACACCAGUGGCGAAGGCGGCUCUCUGGUCUGUAACUGACGCUGAGGCUCGAAAGCGUG
This 675-nucleotide ribosomal RNA is filed under the name uncultured Bacilli bacterium. RNAcentral's name for it is "bacterial SSU rRNA". It matches the Rfam family "Bacterial small subunit ribosomal RNA", at positions 102 to 763 of the family's 1533-position model. Lineage: Bacteria; Bacillati; Bacillota; Bacilli. The record is from RNAcentral.